This 253-nucleotide ribosomal RNA is filed under the name uncultured bacterium. RNAcentral describes it as "partial 16S ribosomal RNA". It matches the Rfam family "Bacterial small subunit ribosomal RNA", at positions 524 to 776 of the family's 1533-position model. The record is from RNAcentral.
UACGGAGGGUGCGAGCGUUAUCCGGAUUCACUGGGUUUAAAGGGUGCGUAGGCGGGCUUGUAAGUCAGUGGUGAAAGCCCGGGGCUUAACUCCGGAACUGCCGUUGAUACUGCAAGCCUUGAGUACAGUUGAGGUGGGCGGAAUACAUCAUGUAGAGGUGAAAUUCUUAGAUAUGAUGUAGAACACCGAUUGCGAAGGCAGCUCACUAAAGUGUAACUGACGCUGAGGCACGAAAGCGUGGGGAUCAAACAGG